Molecule: transfer RNA, 68 nt
Filed under: chicken gut metagenome
Rfam family: tRNA
About the family: Transfer RNA (tRNA) molecules are approximately 80 nucleotides in length. Their secondary structure includes four short double-helical elements and three loops (D, anti-codon, and T loops).
Source: RNAcentral
UGAUGUGGCACAGUAGGUAGCGCAAUGCCUUGGUAAGGCAUAGGUCACGGGUUCAAGUCCCGUCAUCA